CCUACGGUCUCAGCAGUGGGGAAUAUUGGACAAUGGGCGAAAGCCUGAUCCAGCCAUGCCGCGUGUGUGAAGAAGGCCUUCGGGUUGUAAAGCACUUUCAGUGGGGAAGAAAGCCUUGGGGCUAAUACCCUCGAGGAAGGACAUCACCCACAGAAGAAGCACCGGCUAACGCCGUGCCAGCAGCCGCGGUAAUACGGAGGGUGCGAGCGUUAAUCGGAAUUACUGGGCGUAAAGCGCGCGUAGGCGGUCUGAUAAGCCGGUUGUGAAAGCCCCGGGCUCAACCUGGGAACGGCAUCCGGAACUGUCAGGCUAGAGUGCAGGAGAGGAAGGUAGAAUUCCCGGUGUAGCGGUGAAAUGCGUAGAGAUCGGGAGGAAUACCAGUGGCGAAGGCGGCCUUCUGGACUGACACUGACGCUGAGGUGCGAAAGCGUGGGUAGCAAACAGGAUUAGAUACCCCAGUAGUC
This 464-nucleotide ribosomal RNA is filed under the name Vreelandella stevensii. RNAcentral's name for it is "partial 16S ribosomal RNA". It matches the Rfam family "Bacterial small subunit ribosomal RNA", at positions 338 to 795 of the family's 1533-position model. Lineage: Bacteria; Pseudomonadati; Pseudomonadota; Gammaproteobacteria; Oceanospirillales; Halomonadaceae. The record is from RNAcentral.